AUACGUAAGGAACUUAGCCUGGGAGCUCUGCUGACGAUGUAAAACUAGAAGACAUUUCCAGAAGUGUCUGUCAAACAAAGUAUAAAAAUAAUCAGAGACUGAUGGCAGAAGUUACUGACACUCUAGCUGGUGUACAAGUGGGUGAAAUUAAACAGCACUGUACCAACAUUAAAUUCAUUGUUGCAGUGCUUUUUGCUAACGUUCUAAAUGCAGUAACUAGUGGGUUAAAAAUGUACAAUACAGCUGUGUUUUAUCAGAGCUACCUUAAAAUGCUAAUAGAGAGGAUUUUUCUUCUGUUGCACAACCUGUUAAAUCACCGCCCUCAUAUUAGCUUGUACUGCCUGUGCCACUUCUCUGCUGCUCUGUCUUUAUCUGAGACAAUGGCUUAUUCUUCUGCCUGUCCCCUCUUCCUGCUUGUCUGAGCCUACAGCAACUUUCAGUCCUGUGUGUGAUAGUCCUAACCCUGACUAAUAGCAAAAUAGCUCAGCAGAAUGCAAGGCAAAUGUCUCCUGUCUAAUAGUUAGGAUUGCACGCCUUUGCUGGAGUCUUGCCUCAGCUCGGAUAUGUCAGGAAAUGCUAAGCAAGUCCUUUGAUUUUUUGUGUUUCAGCCUGUAAACUGAGAACAACAGUUAUCAAUAUCAUCAGAGAAAAGGGAGGCUUAGCUAAACAGUGGUUGUUUGAAAUACCUGGAUGAGAAAGUGCUUAUUUAAAUGCUAACACAUAGACAGCUCUUUUAUAGGACAGAAUAAAUAAUAUGAAACAUUGUCAUUAUAUUUUAUUGUUUUCUUUCCUUCUCAAUGCUUUUCAAACCUCACACUGCACUUCUGCUAAAGAAGCCCAAAUAUAGGAUCCUACUAGAGACAAAGUCAGACUUUUGGUUAUAAAUGUGAAUCCUUGGGAGUUAUCAUGAUAGUCUGAGCUCUUCUUAGAAUUUAGAUGAGUUAUCUUUGAUCACUUUGCUUCUGCUCUCCUCUGUGUCUGCAGUUUGACAGUCUGUCUGCUUGGACUGGAAGCUCUUUGCUACAAAAACAGCUUGUAAAUGGGCUCUGGUACCAAACCUAAUUUCAGUCCUACCGACACUGCUGUAAGACAUAGUGCUAAAUUUUAAUUGAUUUAGUAUUUAAAUUUACAACUACAAUCGAAUGGAAACUUACAGUCUGGGAGACAAAUGAUUUCCUCUUACAAUGAUACAGCCUGCAGGAAAGUUUUCCACUCAGUAAGUCAAAACAAGAAGAAAAGAUGUAGGUGAUGUCAGUGCUGCUAGAAAACAAAGAAAAAGAAGCAAGAUAUCCAAGAAAAAAGUAAUAAAUGAAUCACAGAAUCACAGAAUGGCUUACACUGCAAGAAAUUUUAAAAAUCAUCUAGUUUCAACCCACUGCCAUAGGCAGGACUGCCUCACAUCAGAUGAGGCUGCCCAGGACCUUAUCCAAUCAGACCUUGAACACCUCCAAGGAUGGGGCAUCCACAGCUUCUCUGGGCAGCCUGUACCAGUGCCUCACAGCCCUCUGAGUGAAAAAUUUCCCCCUGGCAUCAAAUCUAAACCUCCCUUCUUAUAGUUUAAAACCAUUCCUCCUUGUCUUAUCACUACCAGACAUGUAAAAAGUCAGUCCCCCUCCCGCUUUUAUGCUCACUUGAAGUACUGAAAAGCUGCAAUUAGGUCUUUUCUCCAAGCUAAAUAAGCCCAGCUUCCUCAACCUUUCUUCGUAAGUGAGGUACUCCAGCACUUCAAGCAUCUUUGUGGCCCUCCCCUGGAUCUGCUCUAAUAGCUGCACACCUAUCUUGUGCUGGGGGCUCUAGAUCUGGAUACAGUACUCCAUAUGGGGCCUUGUGAGGGCAGACUAGAGGGGGACAAUCAUCUCCCUCACCCUGCUGGCCAUCCCUCUUUUCAUGCAGCCCAGGAUACUGCUGGCCUUUCAGGCUGUGGUAUGAACACUGGGUACAUUAAAGUAGAUGCUGUUGGAUCUUUGUCUUAAUUGUAGUUUUUGUGAGUCUAACUGCUAAUUCCCACUGACAUUUAUUUCCUAUUCCCAUUUCUUUCCAUUUUAUUUACAGUGUCCCCAGUCUGUCUGUUGAGGCUCAAAAAUAGAGAAAGAAGAGACUGUUGACACUUCCUCCUCAUUUUGUCUGUAGAUCCUUCAAAGGAAGACUGCCCAGGCAUCAAACUAAAUGCAUUUCACACAGACCACUUAGAAGAAAAUGAACAGCAACAACUUCCACUCAUUAACAUCGAUAUGGCCUGGGGCUGACCCAGCAUGCCCAAAGCACAAAGCUCUGUAUCCCAUUACCAAAAUCCUGAACACCACAACUCACUUGACUACUUCUUGUUUAGACUAUAAAUAACUUAAUUCCACACCUUGCCAGGCAGUACGACAGAUUGCAGGCCCUAGCAGAGGACAGGGCGCCCUCCUCAAAGCCUUUACAUGAAACAUUUCCUUCAACUUGAACAUCCAGUGGUGUACCUAGAACAACCUCAGCCAGGGGCAGUGUUUUGCUUACAUGCUGGUGCACACUGGCUGUUUCUUUUACUGGGGAACUCUUGUUUCCCUCAGGCCUCAGAGAGAGCCAAUGACGUACCCUCCUAAUGAUGAGGGAAGCCAGGACUAAGCAGUAGCACUUCAGUGCUAACCAGCUGACCUUGAUGUAUUGGAUGUAUUGGUUCAGACUCCACAGGAAUUCCUAGCCCAGAUCCCAUGGAUCCCGGUGCUGGCAUGCAGAGAAAGCUUCCCCUCUGGAUUCCUCCCUGCUUCCAAACUCUUUUUGCAGAGGCAGGGCCUGCAGGAGGAUUGUUGGGCUGCUUUUGUUCCCAGCCACACAAAGCUCUAGGAUGAAGGUAAUGGACUACAAAAGGAUUUCUAAAGCUGCUCGCAGCAUACCUAACACAUUAUGCACUCUGGACUUUCCUUCCCAUGAGAAUGGUGGUCUUGCUGCAUAGUGCAUUUGCUUACUGACAUCUCCUUUUGCUAAUGGGCUCCAUCUUCAAUGUGGCAUACUUUGCCCUGCUAGCUGCCCUCUCUGGCGCUGUGGCUAAGGCAAGGGAUGCUGGUGGGAGAACAUCCAAAGCCAUCUUUCUCAUCUGUAAAGCCUGCAGUCUUCCUGAGACACAUUUCUUUGCAAUUUCCUUCAUAGGGGGCUUACUUCAAAUUCAUCACCAUUAGAUCUGACGCCUUGGGUGCUCAGAGCACUGCAGAGAGAGGCUUAGAACCCUGCAUUCUUUGUUGAAGACGGGGAGAGUUGGAAUAACGGAUUUUAUUUUGUAUUAUUUUCGUGUAGAAACAUAAACGUGGGAUCACUUAGAUGAACGCAUCAUUCCUAUGGAAGUUACACCACUGCUCAGUAGAGAGACUGAUUCAAGAAGCUGAAUUUCGAGGUUACUAGUAUCUAAGCAAUAGUAUACAGUUGUGUAGAUUUUCCAUCCCCACAGUAAAGGACCAAGAGGAAGACUAUGACUAGAAGAUGAGAAAAGAAAAAGAGAAUUAAUGCAGACAUACAUUUAAAAAUAAAGUAUUGCAGUAUUAGCAGACCAAGUCCUGCUUAGGAAAGCUUUUAACAGUUAUCAGCAAUUCUUUAGAAAACAGCCACAGUUUACAUGUGUAGCCAGUUGCUUUCUAAUUGCUACAGCAGGCUACCACUGGGAAGAACAAAGGAAAUAUUUAGCACAUCGUAAAUUCUUCUGUGGCCCUGCCGAGUGGCUGGAGUUCAGAUUACACGUUUAUAACCAACAUUUGAGAGCAAUUUCUCCUUCACUUUGAGAAAGUGGGUGGGGAAGCUGUUCGACACUUUCUUCAAAUGCCUGAAGUAAUGUGUGUCUGAAAGAAACUUGGGUUCAAAAUUCUGUUCCGCUUGUCUUUAAUUCAGGCUCACAAUACAUGGUAAUACGUUGAAAUGCACUGAAAAACUUUGUUAAAAACAGAUGGUUGUGCCAUUGUUGGUGUUGUUACAAUUAUUUGCUUCUAGUUUUACUACUACUGUGUACGAUUUACUGAAAUCUUGCAAGUUGAUCAUUAUUUGUUUCCACUGAUGCUAAGUAUCUUGCAAAUGCUGUCGUGGGCUGUGCUAGUAACUGGACUGGAGGUACACUGACUCGGUAUUUAAUUACAUCCCUGUCUGGCAAAUGGGGUGCUGGGGCUCUGACUUUCGCAAAAUUCUGUGUGAUAUAACAGAAAAUAUGCUGGUACCCUAGCCAGCUUAAGGCUGUGUUUAGUUUCAGUUCUAGGUAAAUUCAAACGUUUCUCAAGUUUCCUGUAGAGUUUCACAUGGAUGAAGUAUUCUACGUUAAUUGUUCUUAAUAAGAAAGUGGUGUAACUGUUUAUUCAGCAGUUGCCAAUAUUGCAGAAGAGAUGAAAGCAAGUGAUCCUUUUGUGUUUGUUAUUUGCUGCUAUUAUUUCACUGCUAACACAUAACUUUAGUGAAUUUAUCAUUAAAGAAAAAAAAUGCAUUAGAACUUAUUUUUUCCCCAGAGUCAUUUAAAAUGCAGCACACUCAGAGCUGAAAAAUCAAAACUCAUGAGUAUCUGUAG
This is a long non-coding RNA of Gallus gallus (chicken), 4516 nucleotides long. The record is from Ensembl. Lineage: Eukaryota; Metazoa; Chordata; Aves; Galliformes; Phasianidae.